GACGAACGCUGGCGGCGCGCCUAACACAUGCAAGUCGAACGAGCGAGAGAGAGCUUGCUUUCUCGAGCGAGUGGCGAACGGGUGAGUAACGCGUGAGGAACCUGCCUCAAAGAGGGGGACAACAGUUGGAAACGACUGCUAAUACCGCAUAAGCCCACGGCUCGGCAUCGAGCAGGGGGAAAAGGAGCAAUCCGCUUUGAGAUGGCCUCGCGUCCGAUUAGCUAGUUGGUGAGGUAACGGCCCACCAAGGCGACGAUCGGUAGCCGGACUGAGAGGUUGAACGGCCACAUUGGGACUGAGACACGGCCCAGACUCCUACGGGAGGCAGCAGUGGGGAAUAUUGCACAAUGGGGGAAACCCUGAUGCAGCGACGCCGCGUGGAGGAAGAAGGUCUCCGGAUUGUAAACUCCUGUUGUUGGGGAAGAUAAUGACGGUACCCAACAAGGAAGUGACGGCUAACUACGUG
This 466-nucleotide ribosomal RNA is filed under the name uncultured bacterium. Its description in RNAcentral is "partial 16S ribosomal RNA". It matches the Rfam family "Bacterial small subunit ribosomal RNA", at positions 28 to 507 of the family's 1533-position model. The record is from RNAcentral.